RNAcentral lists this ribosomal RNA (431 nucleotides) under uncultured bacterium. RNAcentral describes it as "partial 16S ribosomal RNA". It matches the Rfam family "Bacterial small subunit ribosomal RNA", at positions 29 to 507 of the family's 1533-position model. The record is from RNAcentral.
AACGAACGCUGGCGGCAGGCUUAACACAUGCAAGUCGAACGCCCCGCAAGGGGAGUGGCAGACGGGUGAGUAACGCGUGGGAACAUACCCUUUUCUACGGAAUAGCUCUGGGAAACUGGAAUUAAUACCGUAUACGCCCUACGGGGGAAAGAUUUAUCGGGGAAGGAUUGGCCCGCGUUGGAUUAGCUAGUUGGUGGGGUAAAGGCCUACCAAGGCGACGAUCCAUAGCUGGUCUGAGAGGAUGAUCAGCCACAUUGGGACUGAGACACGGCCCAAACUCCUACGGGAGGCAGCAGUGGGGAAUAUUGGACAAUGGGCGCGAGCCUGAUCCAGCCAUGCCGCGUGAGUGAUGAAGGCCUUAGGGUUGUAAAGCUCUUUCACCGAUGAAGAUAAUGACGGUAGUCGGAGAAGAAGCCCCGGCUAACUUCGUG